UGCUUCCCACUAUGAUGAUAAAGGACUGAACUCUGAAACUAACAAAUGCUGUGGGUUGAAUAUAAAUUCAAAGGUAUAAUCAUGCAUGCACUCAGUCCUCUGCAGAAAGCAACAAUUGGCCAAAUUGCAGAAAACAACUAAUCACAACAUAUCAUCCAGUCCUAACUGGUACAUCUGCAAUAUAAUACCCUCACCCAAGAAACAUGAUAGAAGAUGAAAAUUAUAAGAGCUAGAAGAUCA
Molecule: long non-coding RNA, 240 nt
Organism: Mastomys coucha (southern multimammate mouse)
Lineage: Eukaryota; Metazoa; Chordata; Mammalia; Rodentia; Muridae
Exons: 3
Source: RefSeq, a predicted model, not a curated record